AAAUGAAGUAUUUAAUAAAUAGGAAGUUUUGAUUGAUUUGCAAUCAGUUUUUAUGGUAACAUACGAU
Molecule: transfer RNA, 67 nt
Filed under: Lycosa singoriensis
Lineage: Eukaryota; Metazoa; Arthropoda; Arachnida; Araneae; Lycosidae
Description: tRNA-Ala
Source: RNAcentral